CCUACGGGUGGCAGCAGUGGGGAAUAUUGCACAAUGGGGGGAACCCUGAUGCAGCGACGCCGCGUGAGUGAAGAAGUAUUUCGGUACGUAAAGCUCUAUCAGCAGGGAAGAAAAAAGGACGGUACCGGAGUAAGAAGCCCCGGCUAACUACGGGCCAGCAGCCGCGGUAAUACGUAGGGGGCAAGCGGUCUCCGGAAUUACUGGGUGGAAAGGGAGCGUAGACGGCAAUGCAAGUCCGGAUGGGACUGCGGCCUCUCACCUGCCGAACUGCUCGGGCAACUGUAGGGCUUGAGUGCAGGAGGGGUAAGCGGAAUUCCUGGUGUAGCGGUGAACUGCGUCGAUAUCAGGAGGACCACCGGUGGCGAAGGCGGCUUACUGGACUGUAACUGACGUUGCGGCUCG
Molecule: ribosomal RNA, 402 nt
Filed under: uncultured bacterium
Lineage: Bacteria
Description: partial 16S ribosomal RNA
Rfam family: Bacterial small subunit ribosomal RNA
Source: RNAcentral